RNAcentral lists this ribosomal RNA (490 nucleotides) under uncultured bacterium. RNAcentral describes it as "bacterial SSU rRNA". It matches the Rfam family "Bacterial small subunit ribosomal RNA", at positions 30 to 515 of the family's 1533-position model. The record is from RNAcentral.
AUUGAACGCUGGCGGAAUGCUUUACACAUGCAAGUCGAACGGUAGAGGGGGCAACCCCUUGAGAGUGGCGAACGGGUGAGUAAUAUAUCGGAACGUGCCCAGUCGUGGGGAUAACGUAGCGAAAGUUACGCUAAUACCGCAUACGAUCUAAGGAUGAAAGCGGGGGACUCGCAAGAGCCUCGCGCGAUUGGAGCGGCCGAUAUCAGAUUAGGUAGUUGGUGGGGUAAAGGCUCACCAAGCCAACGAUCUGUAGCUGGUCUGAGAGGACGACCAGCCACACUGGAACUGAGACACGGUCCAGACUCCUACGGGAGGCAGCAGUGGGGAAUUUUGGGACAAUGGACGCAAGUCUGAUCCAGCCAUUCCGCGUGCAGGAUGAAAGGCCCUCGGGUUGUAAACUGCUUUGUACGGAACGAAAAGGUUCUAUUAAUACUAGGAGCUCAUGACGGUACCGUAAGAAUAAGNACCGGCUAACUAACGUGCCAGCAGC